AUUGAACGCUGGCGGCAGGCCUAACACAUGCAAGUCGAACGAGUGGCGGACGGGUGAGUAAUGUCUUGGAAACUGCCCGAUGGAGGGGGAUAACUACUGGAAACGGUAGCUAAUACCGCAUACCAUCGGAUGUGCCCAGAUGGGGUUAGCUAGUAGGUGGGGUAACGGCUCACCUAGGCGACGAUCCCUAGCUGGUUUGAGAGGAUGACCAGGCAUACUGGAACAGAGACACGGUCCAGACGCCUACGGGUGGCAGCAGUGGGGAAUAUUGCACACUGGGCGCAAGCCUGAUGCAGCCAGGCCGCGUGUAUGAAGAAGGCCUUCGGGUUGUAAAGUACUUUCAGCGAGGAGGCGUUACUCGCAGAAGAAGCACCGGCUAACUCCGUGCCAGCAGCCGCGGUAAUAC
Molecule: ribosomal RNA, 406 nt
Filed under: uncultured bacterium
Lineage: Bacteria
Description: partial 16S ribosomal RNA
Rfam family: Bacterial small subunit ribosomal RNA
Source: RNAcentral